AUUGAACGCUGGCGGCAUGCCUUACACAUGCAAGUCGAACGGCAGCACGGGAGCAAUCCUGGUGGGCGAGUGGCGAACGGGUGAGUAAUAUAUCGGAACGUGCCCAGUCGUGGGGGAUAACGUAGCGAAAGCUACGCUAAUACCGCAUACGAUCUAUGGAUGAAAGCGGGGGAUCGCAAGACCUCGCGCGAUUGGAGCGGCCGAUAUCAGAUUAGGUAGUUGGUGAGGUAAAGGCUCACCAAGCCGACGAUCUGUAGCUGGUCUGAGAGGACGACCAGCCACACUGGGACUGAGACACGGCCCAGACUCCUACGGGAGGCAGCAGUGGGGAAUUUUGGACAAUGGGCGCAAGCCUGAUCCAGCAAUGCCGCGUGCAGGAUGAAGGCCUUCGGGUUGUAAACUGCUUUUGUACGGAACGAAACGGUGAGCUCUAAUACAGUUUGCUAAUGACGGUACCGUAAGAAUAAGCACCGGCUAACUACGUG
RNAcentral lists this ribosomal RNA (485 nucleotides) under uncultured bacterium. RNAcentral's name for it is "bacterial SSU rRNA". It matches the Rfam family "Bacterial small subunit ribosomal RNA", at positions 30 to 507 of the family's 1533-position model. The record is from RNAcentral.